RNAcentral lists this ribosomal RNA (484 nucleotides) under uncultured bacterium. RNAcentral describes it as "partial 16S ribosomal RNA". It matches the Rfam family "Bacterial small subunit ribosomal RNA", at positions 30 to 507 of the family's 1533-position model. The record is from RNAcentral.
AUUGAACGCUGGCGGCAGGCCUAACACAUGCAAGUCGAGCGGAUGAAGGGAGCUUGCUCCUGGAUUCAGCGGGGGACGGGUGAGUAAUGCCUAGGAAUCUGCCUGGUAGUGGGGGAUAACGUCCGGAAACGGGCGCUAAUACCGCAUACGUGCUGAGGGAGAAAGUGGGGGAUCUUCGGACCUCACGCUAUCAGAUGAGCCUAGGUCGGAUUAGCUAGUUGGUGGGGUAAAGGCCUACUAAGGCGACGAUCCGUAACUGGUCUGAGAGGAUGAUCAGUCACACUGGAACUGAGACACGGUCCAGACUCCUACGGGAGGCAGCAGUGGGGAAUAUUGGACAAUGGGCGAAAGCCUGAUCCAGCCAUGCCGCGUGUGUGAAGAAGGUCUUCGGAUUGUAAAGCACUUUAAGUUGGGAGGAAGGGCAGUAAGUUAAUACCUUGCUGUUUUGACGUUACCAACAGAAUAAGCACCGGCUAACUUCGUG